GCCCGCCUAGCUCAAUCGGAUAGAGCGUCAGACUUUUAAGUCUACCUCAUGUUAGGCGACAAAGGCGAUCUGAAGGCUGCGAGUUCGACCCUCGCGGUGGGCU
Non-coding RNA from Panaeolus papilionaceus, 103 nucleotides. Lineage: Eukaryota; Fungi; Basidiomycota; Agaricomycetes; Agaricales. The record is from the annotation of a GenBank genome assembly.